AUUGAACGCUGGCGGCAGGCCUAACACAUGCAAGUCGAGCGGAGCGGCGGACGGGUGAGUAAUGCCUAGGAAUCUGCCUGGUAGUGGGGGAUAACGUUCGGAAACGGGCGCUAAUACCGCAUACUAUCAGAUGAGCCUAGGUCGGAUUAGCUAGUUGGUGGGGUAAAGGCUUACCAAGGCGACGAUCCGUAACUGGUCUGAGAGGAAGAUCAGGCACACUGCAACUGAGACACGGGCCAGACUCCUACGGAAGGCAGCAGUGGGGAAUAUUCGACCAUGGGCGAAUGCCUGAUCCAGCCAUGCCGCGUGUGUGAAGAAGGUCUUCGGGUUGUAAAGUACUUUCAGCGGGGAGGCGUUACCCGCAGAAGAAGCACCGGCUGACUCCGUGCCAGCAGCCGCGGUAAUAC
This 407-nucleotide ribosomal RNA is filed under the name uncultured bacterium. RNAcentral's name for it is "partial 16S ribosomal RNA". It matches the Rfam family "Bacterial small subunit ribosomal RNA", at positions 30 to 526 of the family's 1533-position model. The record is from RNAcentral.